RNAcentral lists this ribosomal RNA (418 nucleotides) under Trichococcus sp. enrichment culture clone MB3_35. RNAcentral describes it as "bacterial SSU rRNA". It matches the Rfam family "Bacterial small subunit ribosomal RNA", at positions 28 to 424 of the family's 1533-position model. Lineage: Bacteria; Bacillati; Bacillota; Bacilli; Lactobacillales; Carnobacteriaceae. The record is from RNAcentral.
GACGAACGCUGGCGGCGUGCCUAAUACAUGCAAGUCGAACGGUUCUUUCUUUUGGAAGCUUGCUUCCGAUCGAGAGAAUAGUGGCGGACGGGUGAGUAACACGUGGGUAACCUGCCCAUAAGAGGGGGAUAACAUCCGGAAACGGGUGCUAAUACCGCAUAGUUUUUUUGAUCACAUGAUCGAGAAAGGAAAGACGGCCUUUGUGCUGUCGCUUAUGGAUGGACCCGCGGCGUAUUAGUUAGUUGGUGAGGUAAUGGCUCACCAAGACGAUGAUACGUAGCCGACCUGAGAGGGUGAUCGGCCACAUUGGGACUGAGACACGGCCCAAACUCCUACGGGAGGCAGCAGUAGGGAAUCUUCCGCAAUGGACGAAAGUCUGACGGAGCAACGCCGCGUGAGUGAAGAAGGUUUUCGGAUC